This 258-nucleotide RNase P RNA is filed under the name Mesorhizobium sp. RNAcentral describes it as "partial RNase P RNA component class A". It matches the Rfam family "Bacterial RNase P class A", at positions 139 to 367 of the family's 367-position model. From Rfam's summary of the family: Ribonuclease P (RNase P) is a ubiquitous endoribonuclease, found in archaea, bacteria and eukarya as well as chloroplasts and mitochondria. Its best characterised activity is the generation of mature 5'-ends of tRNAs by cleaving the 5'-leader elements of precursor-tRNAs. Lineage: Bacteria; Pseudomonadati; Pseudomonadota; Alphaproteobacteria; Hyphomicrobiales; Phyllobacteriaceae. The record is from RNAcentral.
UCCGUCGUGGUAAGGGUGAAAGGGUGGGGUAAGAGCCCACCGCGCGACUGGCAACAGGAGCGGCACGGUAAACCCCACCGGGAGCAAGACCGAAUAGGGGCGGUGCGAGGGGAAACCCUCGAGGGCUGUUUCCGGCUCACCGUCCGGGUAGGUUGCGUGAGGUGCAUGGCAACAUGCGCCCAAGAUGAAUGGCCGCCACGUUCUCGCGCCGCAAGGGGCGAGGCCAUACAGAACCCGGCUUACAGGCCAGCUGGCAAU